RNAcentral lists this ribosomal RNA (437 nucleotides) under Salmonella enterica subsp. enterica serovar Cerro. RNAcentral describes it as "bacterial SSU rRNA". It matches the Rfam family "Bacterial small subunit ribosomal RNA", at positions 570 to 1006 of the family's 1533-position model. Lineage: Bacteria; Pseudomonadati; Pseudomonadota; Gammaproteobacteria; Enterobacterales; Enterobacteriaceae. The record is from RNAcentral.
CGCAGGCGGUCUGUCAAGUCGGAUGUGAAAUCCCCGGGCUCAACCUGGGAACUGCAUUCGAAACUGGCAGGCUUGAGUCUUGUAGAGGGGGGUAGAAUUCCAGGUGUAGCGGUGAAAUGCGUAGAGAUCUGGAGGAAUACCGGUGGCGAAGGCGGCCCCCUGGACAAAGACUGACGCUCAGGUGCGAAAGCGUGGGGAGCAAACAGGAUUAGAUACCCUGGUAGUCCACGCCGUAAACGAUGUCUACUUGGAGGUUGUGCCCUUGAGGCGUGGCUUCCGGAGCUAACGCGUUAAGUAGACCGCCUGGGGAGUACGGCCGCAAGGUUAAAACUCAAAUGAAUUGACGGGGGCCCGCACAAGCGGUGGAGCAUGUGGUUUAAUUCGAUGCAACGCGAAGAACCUUACCUGGUCUUGACAUCCACGGAAGUUUUCAGAGA